GAGUUUGAUCCUGGCUCAGAUUGAACGCUGGCGGCAUGCUUUACACAUGCAAGUCGAACGGCAGCACGGGUGCUUGCACCUGGUGGCGAGUGGCGGACGGGUGAGUAAUGCAUCGGAACGUAUCCUUAAGUGGGGGAUAACGCAUCGAAAGAUGUGCUAAUACCGCAUAAUCUCUACGGAGAAAAGCAGGGGCUCGUAAGACCUUGUGCUUUUGGAGCGGCCGAUGUCUGAUUAGCUAGUUGGUAGGGUAAAGGCUUACCAAGGCUUCGAUCAGUAGUUGGUCUGAGAGGACGACCAGCCACACUGGGACUGAGACACGGCCCAGACUCCUACGGGAGGCAGCAGUGGGGAAUUUUGGACAAUGGGGGCAACCCUGAUCCAGCCAUGCCGCGUGAGUGAAGAAGGCCUUCGGGCUGUAAAGCACUUUCAGCGAGGAGGAAAGGUUGGCGAUUAAUACUCGUCAGCUGUGACGUUACUCGCAGAAGAAGGACCGGCUAACUCCGUGCCAGCAGCACGGUA
Molecule: ribosomal RNA, 519 nt
Filed under: uncultured bacterium
Lineage: Bacteria
Description: bacterial SSU rRNA
Rfam family: Bacterial small subunit ribosomal RNA
Source: RNAcentral